UGUUAUUAAAUAACAAAACUGUUUUAAGGCUGCAAUCACAACCAAAUUCAUGUAUAGUUGGUAAUAAUCGCGUUGUAUCAAUGUUUCUCAUAUCCGACACUAAUAAGUGCGAAUAUGUUUCAAAUCAACUUUUUUUUUAAAUUAUUUAUUUUUCCCCUUCGCGCUUGCCGUAGUUGCAAAGCAGAUUUCGCGGGCAGUUUGAGUUGGUGAUGGCGGCCACAACGUCCAUGUUGACUUCACUCGCUCUUUCUAAGCUGCCCAAGUCACGUCGGAGUUCAUUGACGGUAACUUUGUUGGCUUAAACAUCACAUUUAGGUUUAGGGUCUUCUAGGCGCGAUGCGAGACGUCACAAGCGGGCUAACGUUGAGCCAAACAGCAGCUUCGAGGCACGGGCGGAAAUGAGAAGGAGUUUGGCCCCCAGUCAGGUCGCCAAACGGAAGCAAGGGGAGGAUGAUCAUCGAGACGAAAUAUAUUAUAUUAACCACGAGCGGUUCUCGAGAGAAGAUGAAUGGAGAAAAUUGGGACAGUGAUGAAGAAGUCCAAGUUCCAUGGCCACUCAACAAAGCAGGAGGAAGGAAGCAGUCACAAACCAAAUACGUGGCAAGAAUUCUGAGAUUUGGUGAAGACACACGUGAACUGACGCCAUAUUUGAAAGCCGCUCAGGAUGGCAAGGAUGUACCCCUUACUGGUGAUUUGGAAUAUGGCAGAGGCAAGAGAAACAAACAGCCAAAGUCUUGGUCAUCAGACAGUGAGAGCAAGGAUGAAAGUGACGAGGAGACUCUGACAGACAGCAGGUAC
Nerophis lumbriciformis (worm pipefish) is the source of this 798-nucleotide long non-coding RNA. RefSeq lists it as uncharacterized. The record is from RefSeq and is a predicted model, not a curated record. Lineage: Eukaryota; Metazoa; Chordata; Actinopteri; Syngnathiformes; Syngnathidae.